Molecule: ribosomal RNA, 253 nt
Filed under: uncultured bacterium
Lineage: Bacteria
Description: partial 16S ribosomal RNA
Rfam family: Bacterial small subunit ribosomal RNA
Source: RNAcentral
UACAGAGGGUGCAAGCGUUGUUCGGAAUUACUGGGCGUAAAGCGCGUGUAGGCGGCGUCGUUAGUCGGAUGUGAAAGCCCUCGGCUCAACCGAGGAAGUGCAUCCGAUACUGCGAGGCUUGAGUGUCGGAGGGGGUGGCGGAAUUCCCGGUGUAGAGGUGAAAUUCGUAGAUAUCGGGAGGAACACCUGUGGCGAAGGCGGCCACCUGGACGACAACUGACGCUGAGACGCGAAAGCGUGGGUAGCAAACAGG